AUAUGAUUACUUAAGUUGAAAGAAAUUCCCCAAAUCAAAUCAGCUGGUGGUAAGAGAGGUGGAUUAAGCUGGAAAAUGUAGAAAUUUGUGUGACUGUGUGUUAUUUUAUCCAAACAUAAACUUCACUCAUGAACCCCCAAAGCAGGGUCUCAUUUCCAUUUGGAAAAUUGCAAUUGGUGUUUUUCUCGUUGUCUGUUUUGGUUCUUAUGAAAAGAAAGUGGAAAAAUGGCCUGAUGAGGUGGCAUAACGCAUCAAUCCACACUCCGUCUCUGACUGUUCUCCCCACAGCGGUCAGUCCACAAAGUCUCUAACACUUGCUGCUAUUAAUAAAAGCUGAAGAAAAUGAUGCCUUUGUCUGAAGACAUUAGCAGGAUUGUGGUUGUGUUCCAAAGGACUGGAGGCUGAGAGGAGGGUGUGAGAAGGCCAGUUGCCCAGGGCACCAACCUAAAGAGUUGCUAAAUUUAAGGGGGAAGGCACCCAGCCAGCCAUCAAUGAGCCACAAUUGCUCUGUCGCCAAUCUAGGUGUCCGUGUUGCUUGAAAUAGUUCUGCUUACUUUAAGCUGUUCUACCACAUGUGCUCAGAAAUUCUAAAGACCAUUUACACACUUUAUUGAAGCGAGUUUUUAAAAAUUGGACAUGCAGUCUUGCUCUAUACUCAUGUUAAUGACUACUUUAGAAUUAAAGUUAUUAAGACGUCUCAACAUUUUGAAUUUAAACCAGGAAACCAGCACCAUCUCCUGCCUCCCCUGACCCCCAAACCCUCCACAAUAGAAAAAAUAGUUUUCCUAUUUAGUUCUUAUUUGAGGAUACUGCAGUGUUUCAGCAUCCUGGCUGAACGGUAAAAUCACCUAAAAAUCUGAGCCACAUCAGAGUCCAAUUGAAACAGACCUCUGCGGCAUUUAGCUCACAUCUGAAACACCUGGAGGGCUUGUGAAAACAGAUCGUUGAGCCCUGCUCCCAGAGUUUCAGACUGAGUAGGUCUGGGAUGGAGAAUUUCCAUUUCCGUCAAGUUCCAGUGCCUGUCGAUGCUGCUCCAGGGACCACACUUUGAGAACCACCUCUCUAAUAUCUAACCACCUCUAACGAUCCUGACUCAUUCUGCAUAUCCUAAGGAGAACCACAACAACCUAACUUCAACUCCCUAAAGAAAUAAGAAUUAGAAGGAAUGGGGUUUCAGAGACUCGAAAGACUGAACUACUGGGGCUUGAGGAAAAAGGGAUUUGCUUGUGUCUAGGAGAGACUGUGUUCAGGGCUAUCUACGAUGGGGGUGGAGGGAAAGGUGGAAACAUUUAUCCAAUGCUUGCUGUCUCCCAUUGGUCAAAAGAGGUCCGGGAAUGUGAAAGCCCCUGCACUGCAGUUGUGUGUGUUUGGGGGGUUGGGGCGGGAGUGAAGAGGUGCCCAGGAGGGCCCCAAAGAGGCAGGGCACCUCAGAUGGCGGUGAGUGCCUGUGGCACAGGCAGGCUACCCCUGGGGAGCCGUCAGAGUCAUGCACUGCUGGCACAAGAUACAUCAGGGCUGGGAGGCUCCGGCUGGUACGGAAGAGGCGUGUGAUUUGGUUUCAGGGAGGGGCCAUGGAUGCCAGCGGAGUGGUCCAUAGUGCCCACCGCAGAACUCUCGGUCGCUUGUGUGACAGGAAUCUACACGUAAAAUAAAAACCAGCCACAAAAUCCUAAUAAGCCAUUUGUUUCAAAGUUCUCUCCAGAUUUACUAGCUCUGCAAAUUCAAUAGAUGGAGGCAGGCACCCGCUUUGUUCAUAGUGCCCAUCCAUACUGCAGGAGACCUUAGCGAGCACUAGAAAGACCCCAGAGCGCAAUGGGAAGGUGGGCUCUGGUUAUCAAGGAACGGGAUAACUGUCUUCUGGAUUAGUGAAAGUGGGUACGACGGAGAUGGAGAAGUGGAAUUCAAAGGUUGUUUUAGAAGGAUCCG
Molecule: long non-coding RNA, 1926 nt
Filed under: Equus asinus (donkey)
Lineage: Eukaryota; Metazoa; Chordata; Mammalia; Perissodactyla; Equidae
Description: lncRNA (ENSEASG00005026690.1)
Source: RNAcentral